GACGAACGCUGGCGGCGUGCUUAACACAUGCAAGUCGAACGGAAAGGCCCUGCUUUUGUGGGGUGCUCGAGUGGCGAACGGGUGAGUAACACGUGAGUAACCUUCCCUCGACUUUGGGAUAUCUUCAGGCAACUGGGGCUAAUACCUGAUAGGAGCUCCUGCUGCAUGGUGGGGGUUGGAAAGUUUCGGCGGUUGGGGAUGGACUCGCGGCUUAUCAGCUUGUUGGUGGGGUAGUGGCUUACCAAGGCUUUGACGGGUAGCCGGCCUGAGAGGGUGACCGGCCACAUUGGGACUGAGAUACGGACCAGACUCCUACGGGAGGCAGCAGUGGGGAAUAUUGCACAAUGGGCGGAAGCCUGAUGCAGCAACGCCGCGUGCGGGAUGAAGGCCUUCGGGUUGUAAACCGCUUUCGCCUGUGACGAAGCGUGAGUGACGGUAAUGGGUAAAGAAGCACCGGCUAACUACGUG
RNAcentral lists this ribosomal RNA (468 nucleotides) under uncultured bacterium. Its description in RNAcentral is "partial 16S ribosomal RNA". It matches the Rfam family "Bacterial small subunit ribosomal RNA", at positions 28 to 507 of the family's 1533-position model. The record is from RNAcentral.